CGGUAGCUAAUACCGCAUAACGUCGCAAGACCAAAGUGGGGGACCUUCGGGCCUCAUGCCAUCAGAUGUGCCCAGAUGGGAUUAGCUAGUAGGUGGGGUAACGGCUCACCUAGGCGACGAUCCCUAGCUGGUCUGAGAGGAUGACCAGCCACACUGGAACUGAGACACGGUCCAGACUCCUACGGGAGGCAGCAGUGGGGAAUAUUGCACAAUGGGCGCAAGCCUGAUGCAGCCAUGCCGCGUGUGUGAAGAAGGCCUUCGGGUUGUAAAGCA
This 273-nucleotide ribosomal RNA is filed under the name Klebsiella pneumoniae. Its description in RNAcentral is "partial 16S ribosomal RNA". It matches the Rfam family "Bacterial small subunit ribosomal RNA", at positions 157 to 432 of the family's 1533-position model. The record is from RNAcentral. Lineage: Bacteria; Pseudomonadati; Pseudomonadota; Gammaproteobacteria; Enterobacterales; Enterobacteriaceae.